RNAcentral lists this unclassified non-coding RNA (233 nucleotides) under Hevea brasiliensis (rubber tree). Lineage: Eukaryota; Viridiplantae; Streptophyta; Magnoliopsida; Malpighiales; Euphorbiaceae. The record is from RNAcentral.
GGCGGGCGCGGCUUCUCCGGGCAGCCGGACGAUAAUCUCACCAGGGGGCAGUUCGCCCGGCUUGGCGCUGACGGUUGGCCCCGCGCCGUCGCGCGCCCUCGUGCCAUAGACGAAGGGUUCCGNNNNNNNNNNNGAUCACGAGUUCGAGCGCCAGCCCUCCCUGCGCCGGACCGGCCAUUGCGAAGUCUUCCGGGCGCACGCCCAGGAUGGCGUCGCCGGGCACCUUGAUCUGC